Molecule: long non-coding RNA, 785 nt
Organism: Lates calcarifer (barramundi perch)
Lineage: Eukaryota; Metazoa; Chordata; Actinopteri; Centropomidae
Exons: 5
Source: RefSeq, a predicted model, not a curated record
AACGUAGUCGGAAACAGAUUUAAGCCAAGUUUGCGACGUUGCAUCUGUUUGCCAGUACCGUGAGAAAAUGCCGUUACCGAGGAGGUCUUGAUGCUAAAACAAACUGCUUUUUGUCAUUAAUGAAGUGGUCUGGACACGAAAACAAACUCUGGAGCUGCUUUUUGUUGUUAAUGAAGAGGUCUGGGUGCUAAAACAAGAAAACAAAGUUGCUUUUUUGCCGAACAGGAGUGAGACUGGACGCUGAACACACCUGCGGAGUGGAGGUUUACUGGUUCAGCUGCUGCAGCCUGGACAGAAACACCAGCUCUCACCUUACAAACCAAACAGAUGUUACCACUUCGUCCACUUCUACAAUGAAGAAGUUUUUUGACACCAGGCCUGACACUGAGGCCUCCAGGAUUCACACUUCAAUCAUUAAACCACAGAGAGAAGAGACAGAUGUGAAGACAUUUCCAGAAGGUCUUGAGCUGUUCUCCUCCUCCUGCAGAGACAAGAACGUAUUAAUCACAGAGACUGAUCAGUAAUGCAAAAUAUUUUUACAACAUACUAUUUGAAGGUUUUAUGCCAAACUAUACUUAAUGAUUUUUGACACCUUACUAUAUAGUAUAGAAACUAUUUCAAGUACACAGUGUUUGUGGGUUAGGUUAGAUUUUCAUUUUGGUAUUUUUCUGUUUCAAACAGUGCAAUAUUAGUACUCAAAUCCAAUCUAUUACUGUGUACAUAGUCCAGUUUACUGUUCAUAUUGUUGAGAAUUUUUAUAUAUUGUAUUGUUUUAUAUAAUGCCC